This 888-nucleotide long non-coding RNA is filed under the name Vitis vinifera (wine grape). RNAcentral's name for it is "long non-coding RNA (VVIN_LNC008003)". The record is from RNAcentral. Lineage: Eukaryota; Viridiplantae; Streptophyta; Magnoliopsida; Vitales; Vitaceae.
GACAAUGAAAAUAAAUUGACAAUGAAAAUAUCCUAUUUAAAAGCUCCCACCUUAAGGUACCCUAGGUACUACCUUAGCUAAACAUGAACUCAACCUCUCCCAAGCCUUGGGUCUUCCUUUGUGACCCUUAGAGCAUCCCAUUAUGUGGUUCUCUUGAGUGCUCAGGUGGUCCACCAAUGGUUUUUUGGGACUGUACCUUAGGUACACCUUAAUGACCUUUAAGUAUUACCUUAAGAGACCCUAGGUACUACCUUAACUAAACUUGAACUCAACCUCUCCCAAGCCUCGGGCUUUCCUUUGUGAGCCUUAGAGCAUCUCAUUAUGUGGUUCUCUUGAGUGCUCAAGUGGUCCACCAAAGGUUUUUUGCAAUUGUACCUUAGGUACUACCUUAAGAGCCCUUAGGUACUACCUUAAUGGCCUUUAGGUACUACCUUAAGGGACCCUAGGUACUACCUUAGCUAAACAUGAACUCAACCUCUCCCAAGCCUCGGGUCUUCCUUUGUGACCCUUAGAGCAUCCCAUUAUGCGGUUCUCUUGAGUGCUCAAGAGGUUCAUCAAAGGUUUUUUGGGACUGUACCUUAAGUACUACCUUAAGGGCCCUUAGGUACUACCUUAAUGACCUUUAGGUACUAGCUUAAGGGACCCUAGGUACUACCUUAAGGUAAACAUGAACUCAACCUCUCCCAAGCCUCGGGCCUUCUUUUGUGACCCUUAAAGCAUCCCAUUAUGUGGUUCUCUUGAGUGCUCAAGUGGUCUACCAAUGGUUUUUUGGGACUGUACCUUAGGUACUACCUUAAGGGCCCUUAGGUACUACCUUAAUGGCCCUUAGGUACUACCUUAAGGGACCCUAGUUAUUACCUUAGCUAAACAUGAACUCAACCUCUCCCA